Molecule: ribosomal RNA, 497 nt
Filed under: uncultured bacterium
Lineage: Bacteria
Description: partial 16S ribosomal RNA
Rfam family: Bacterial small subunit ribosomal RNA
Source: RNAcentral
GAUGAACGCUGGCGGCGUGCCUAAUACAUGCAAGUCGAGCGGACGGACGAGAAGCUUGCUUCUCUGAUGUUAGCGGCGGACGGGUGAGUAACACGUGGAUAACCUACCUAUAAGACUGGGAUAACUUCGGGAAACCGGAGCUAAUACCGGAUAAUAUUUUGAACCGCAUGGUUCAAAAGUGAAAGACGGUCUUGCUGUCACUUAUAGAUGGAUCCGCGCUGCAUUAGCUAGUUGGUAAGGUAACGGCUUACCAAGGCAACGAUGCAUAGCCGACCUGAGAGGGUGAUCGGCCACACUGGAACUGAGACACGGUCCCGACUCCUACGGGAGGCAGCAGUAGGGAAUCUUCCGCAAUGGGCGAGAGCCUGACGGAACUGCGCCGCGUGAGUGAUGGAGGUCUUCGGAUCGUAAAACUCUGUUAUUAGGGAAGAACAUAUGUGUAAGUAACUGUGCACAUCUUGACGGUAACUAAUCAGAAAGCCACGGCUAACUACGUG